RNAcentral lists this unclassified non-coding RNA (149 nucleotides) under soil metagenome. RNAcentral's name for it is "partial internal transcribed spacer 1". The record is from RNAcentral.
CCGAGUUAUACGACUCCUCAACCCUGUGAACAUACCUAACUUGUUGCCUCGGCGGGAAUCAGCCCGCUCCCGUAACACGGGACGCCCCGCCAGAGGACCCCUAACUCUGUUUCUAUAAUGUACUUCUGAGUAAAACCAGAAAUAAAUCA